ACUCCUGCGGGAGGCAGCAGUGGGGAAUUUUGGACAAUGGGCGAAAGCCUGGUCCAGCCAUGCCGCGUGCAGGAUGAAGGCCUUCGGGUUGUAAACUGCUUUUGUACGGAACGAAACGGCCUUUUCUAAUAAAGAGGGCUAAUGACGGUACCGUAAGAAUAAGCACCGGCUAACUACGUGCCAGCAGCCGCGGUAAUACGUAGGGUGCAAGCGUUAAUCGGAAUUACUGGGCGUAAAGCGUGCGCAGGCGGUUAUGUAAGACAGUUGUGAAAUCCCCGGGCUCAACCUGGGAACUGCAUCUGUGACUGCAUAGCUAGAGUACGGUAGAGGGGGAUGGAAUUCCGCGUGUAGCAGUGAAAUGCGUAGAUAUGCGGAGGAACACCGAUGGCGAAGGCAAUCCCCUGGACCUGUACUGACGCUCAUGCACGAAAGCGUGGGGAGCAAACAGGAUUAGAUACCCCAGUAGUCCCAUGAU
This 475-nucleotide ribosomal RNA is filed under the name uncultured organism. RNAcentral describes it as "partial 16S ribosomal RNA". It matches the Rfam family "Bacterial small subunit ribosomal RNA", at positions 335 to 801 of the family's 1533-position model. The record is from RNAcentral.